RNAcentral lists this long non-coding RNA (415 nucleotides) under Oryzias sinensis (Chinese medaka). Lineage: Eukaryota; Metazoa; Chordata; Actinopteri; Beloniformes; Adrianichthyidae. The record is from RNAcentral.
GACCUUGUUGUUUCUCUGCUCCUCAUCAGCACCUGCUCCUCCGCUCCACCGGCCAUCCCGCCACCCACCCACCCAUCCGUCCACCCAUCCAUCCAGCUGGCCGGGCCACCUGCAGGAGUCAUCAGGAUGCAGCGAAGACACUAAGACAGAGCCAAGUCUGUGGGACCACCUCUCUAGGUCUGCCUCCAUUAGAGCGCCAUCUGCUGACUCGGUGCGGAGGGACAGCUGGUGUUGUGAAUCAGGCCGCCACAGUCAAGGGACCGGCUACUUCCCAACACCAGGGUCUCAUCGCCGCCGCUCACGCCGCAGACCUCAGGCCGCUCUGUUUCUUGAUGCUCCUGCUGUGAUGGAGACGAUGAAACAUCUAGAUUAGAAACAUUUUACUAAAGUAACUGAAUAAAUACUGUUCUGUUUU